Molecule: ribosomal RNA, 253 nt
Filed under: uncultured bacterium
Lineage: Bacteria
Description: partial 16S ribosomal RNA
Rfam family: Bacterial small subunit ribosomal RNA
Source: RNAcentral
UACGUAGGGGCCUAGCGUUGUCCGGAAUUACUGGGCGUAAAGAGCUCGUAGGUGGUUUGUCGCGUUGUUCGUGAAAACUCACAGCUCAACUGUGGGCGUGCGGGCGAUACGGGCAGACUGGAGUACUGCAGGGGAGACUGGAAUUCCUGGUGUAGCGGUGGAAUGCGCAGAUAUCAGGAGGAACACCGGUGGCGAAGGCGGGUCUCUGGGCAGUAACUGACGCUGAGGAGCGAAGGCGUGGGGAGCGAACAGG